GAGGGUAUAGCUCAAGUGGUAGAGUGCAUGCUUAGCAUGCAUGAAGUCCUGGGUUCAAUUUCCAGCAUCUUCU
RNAcentral lists this transfer RNA (73 nucleotides) under Camelus ferus (Wild Bactrian camel). It matches the Rfam family "tRNA". From Rfam's summary of the family: Transfer RNA (tRNA) molecules are approximately 80 nucleotides in length. Their secondary structure includes four short double-helical elements and three loops (D, anti-codon, and T loops). The record is from Rfam by way of RNAcentral. Lineage: Eukaryota; Metazoa; Chordata; Mammalia; Artiodactyla; Camelidae.